This is a long non-coding RNA of Aplysia californica (California sea hare), 567 nucleotides long. RefSeq lists it as uncharacterized. The record is from RefSeq and is a predicted model, not a curated record. NCBI's taxonomy places the organism in Eukaryota, Metazoa, Mollusca, Gastropoda, Aplysiida, Aplysiidae. The transcript is spliced from 2 exons.
ACCUCCGGCCUAUCUUCCGCACGGACAGACCCACCGACCCGUCAGCUACUGUCUUCACCGCCGUGGUGGAACCUCUGAGAAACCGCGUGGAGUUCUACCAGGGUAACCCAGCGCUACCCGAGAACUCACCCUUCAUGUACUUCAACGUACUGGACAGAUGAAUAGAACAGAACCUAGCACUGGCAGGACUAACGAACCGUAAUAUUAUUAUGACCUCCCUCAAUUUGUGUCUGUGGACAGCGCUUAUCAAGUCAGGGUAUAGGCACCCACUUGUCAUGUUCUUGAGAGCAGACAUGAAGCAGACUGAACUGAAGUCAAGGCCACAGCGACCGGCCCAAUUAAAUCCCUCGGAAAUGACCUUGACCUUCAUCAUGGCCGAUCCAAAGAUUUUUUACAAGAUGAUUCACUCCAUUUGACAUUUAAACUAUAAGCGGAUGAUAUAAUGUUGAUACUGCCUCUCAAGUAAUCAGAAAGAGCUUUAAAUGUUUGUUUGAAUUAAUGUUUUGCAGUACUAUCGUUACAAUUUUGUUAAAAGUGUUAAAACAUGUGGUUUUUAACUGAGUCAAA